GAGUUUGAUCGUGGCUCAGAUUGAACGCUGGCGGCAGGCCUAACACAUGCAAGUCGAGCGGAUGACGGGAGCUUGCUCCUUGAUUCAGCGGCGGACGGGUGGGUAAUGCCUAGGAAUCUGCCUGGUAGUGGGGGACAACGUUUCGAAAGGAACGCUAAUACCGCAUACGUCCUACGGGAGAAAGCAGGGGACCUUCGGGCCUUGCGCUAUCAGAUGAGCCUAGGUCGGAUUAGCUAGUUGGUGGGGUAAUGGCUCACCAAGGCGACGAUCCGUAACUGGUCUGAGAGGAUGAUCAGUCACACUGGAACUGAGACACGGUCCAGACUCCUACGGGAGGCAGCAGUGGGGAAUAUUGGACAAUGGGCGAAAGCCUGAUCCAGCCAUGCCGCGUGUGUGAAGAAGGUCUUCGGAUUGUAAAGCACUUUAAGUUGGGAGGAAGGGCAGUAAGUUAAUACCUUGCUGUUUUGACGUUACCGACAGAAUAAGCACCGGCUAACUCUGUGCCAGCCGCCGCAAG
This 517-nucleotide ribosomal RNA is filed under the name bacterium enrichment culture clone ALO1_GLFRUDD03G0TM2. Its description in RNAcentral is "bacterial SSU rRNA". It matches the Rfam family "Bacterial small subunit ribosomal RNA", at positions 9 to 521 of the family's 1533-position model. The record is from RNAcentral.